AGAGUUUGAUCCUGGCUCAGAAUCAACGCUGGCGGCGUGCCUCAGACAUGCAAGUCGAACGCGAAAGCCCCCUUCGGGGGGCAAGUAGAGUGGCGCACGGGUGAGUAACACGUAGGUAAUCUACCUUUGGAUGGGGAAUAACCACCGGAAACGGUGGCUAAUACCGCAUAAUGCAGCGGCACCUAAUGGUGACAGUUGUUAAAGCGGGGGAUCGUAAGACCUCGCGUCUGGAGAGGAGCCUGCGGCAGAUUAGCUAGUUGGUAAGGUAACGGCUUACCAAGGCGAUGAUCUGUAGCCGGCCUGAGAGGGCGGUCGGCCACACUGACACUGACAUACGGGUCAGACUCCUACGGGAGGCAGCAGUCGGGAAUUUUGGGCAAUGGGCGCAAGCCUGACCCAGCAACGCCGCGUGAAGGAUGAAAUCCCUCGGGAUGUAAACUUCGCAAGAACGGGAAGAAUAAGUAAGAGUUAAUAUCUCUUAUGAUGACGGUACUGUUUGUAAGCUCCGGCUAACUCCGUGCCAGCAGCCGCGGUAAUACA
This 540-nucleotide ribosomal RNA is filed under the name uncultured bacterium. Its description in RNAcentral is "bacterial SSU rRNA". It matches the Rfam family "Bacterial small subunit ribosomal RNA", at positions 8 to 527 of the family's 1533-position model. The record is from RNAcentral.